Trachemys scripta elegans is the source of this 502-nucleotide long non-coding RNA. RefSeq lists it as uncharacterized. The transcript is spliced from 3 exons. NCBI's taxonomy places the organism in Eukaryota, Metazoa, Chordata, Testudines, Emydidae. The record is from RefSeq and is a predicted model, not a curated record.
CAUGCAUUGAGGAAGCGGGGGAAGUGUGUGGAAUGGAAGCGGCCGUGGAACGCGGAGCCAUCAGAAUGGAACUCAGUGUGAUUGCUCUGCUAAUCCAGGUGAACAUAAAAUGGUUUCCACACAAAAAACAGCAACAGAUAUUAAAAAUUGUACUUCACCUUCCUCUUUUCACUUCAGGCCUGCCAGCAGAACCCUGCACCCUGACAUGAACAGCUUGAACAGUGACUGUUGAUAAAUCAAGCAGUAUAUUUAAAACAAAUUUGACUUUUGGACCCUCCUGGGAAAACAGAUGUGCUCCACAGCAAUGAGAAAAGUCAACUUAUUUCAACAUCUAUAUUCUCUAUGAAGCAACAUCACAGAUACAAGUAUAACCUUGAUUAGCCAGUUGGGAAGGAAUACCCCAAACUUCAGAUAAUUGAGUGAGCUGAAUCUGCAUUCAGGAUCUCCUGAUCCAAUCUACUUCUCUCAGAAGUUUAUUUUCAACAGUCUUUUAUGCAAAUGA